Molecule: ribosomal RNA, 247 nt
Filed under: uncultured bacterium
Lineage: Bacteria
Description: partial 16S ribosomal RNA
Rfam family: Bacterial small subunit ribosomal RNA
Source: RNAcentral
AUACGUAGGUGGCAAGCGUUGUCCGGAAUUAUUGGGCGUAAAGCGCGCGCAGGUGGUUCUUUAAGUCUGAUGUGAAAGCCCACGGCUCAACCGUGGAGGGUCAUUGGAAACUGGGGAACUUGAGUGCAGAAGAGGAAAGUGGAAUUCCAAGUGUAGCGGUGAAAUGCGUAGAGAUUUGGAGGAACACCAGUGGCGAAGGCGACUACCUGGACCGAUACUGACACUGAGGAGCGAAAGCGUGGGGAGC